RNAcentral lists this small nucleolar RNA (131 nucleotides) under Procavia capensis (Cape rock hyrax). RNAcentral's name for it is "Small nucleolar RNA SNORA41 (ENSPCAG00000019912.1)". It matches the Rfam family "Small nucleolar RNA SNORA41". From Rfam's summary of the family: ACA41 is a member of the H/ACA class of snoRNA that guide the sites of modification of uridines to pseudouridines. The record is from RNAcentral. Lineage: Eukaryota; Metazoa; Chordata; Mammalia; Hyracoidea; Procaviidae.
UGCCACAGCUACUGGUCCACAGCUGUUCUGACGAGAGACGGUGUGGCAUUCCUCUGUGAGAAGGAAACUCUUACAUGAUUAAACACCUCUCUUAGGAAAACACAAAGUGAGCAUAUAUGUGACAAACACCA